AACGAACGCUGGCGGCAUGCCUAACACAUGCAAGUCGAACGAGAUCUUCGGGUCUAGUGGCGCACGGGUGCGUAACGCGUGGGAAUCUGCCCUUUGGUUCGGAAUAACAGUUGGAAACGACUGCUAAUACCGGAUGAUGACGAAAGUCCAAAGAUUUAUCGCCAGAGGAUGAGCCCGCGUAGGAUUAGCUAGUUGGUGUGGUAAAGGCGCACCAAGGCGACGAUCCUUAGCUGGUCUGAGAGGAUGAUCAGCCACACUGGGACUGAGACACGGCCCAGACUCCUACGGGAGGCAGCAGUGGGGAAUAUUGGACAAAGGGCGAAGGCCUGAUCCAGCAAUGCCGCGUGAGUGAUGAAGGCCUUAGGGUUGUAAAGCUCUUUUACCCGGGAUGAUAAUGACAGUACCGGGAGAAUAAGCUCCGGCUAACUCCGUGCCAGCAGCCGCCGUAA
RNAcentral lists this ribosomal RNA (449 nucleotides) under uncultured bacterium. RNAcentral describes it as "partial 16S ribosomal RNA". It matches the Rfam family "Bacterial small subunit ribosomal RNA", at positions 29 to 523 of the family's 1533-position model. The record is from RNAcentral.